GACGAACGCUGGCGGCGUGCUUAACACAUGCAAGUCGAACGGAAAGGCCCUGCUUUUGUGGGGUGCUCGAGUGGCGAACGGGUGAGUAACACGUGAGUAACCUGCCCUUGACUUUGGGAUAACUUCAGGAAACUGGGGCUAAUACCGGAUAGGAGCUCCUGCUGCAUGGUGGGGGUUGGAAAGUUUCGGCGGUUGGGGAUGGACUCGCGGCUUAUCAGCUUGUUGGUGGGGUAGUGGCUUACCAAGGCUUUGACGGGUAGCCGGCCUGAGAGGGUGACCGGCCACAUUGGGACUGAGAUACGGCACAGACUCCUACGGGAGGCAGCAGUGGGGAAUAUUGCACAAUGGGCGGAAGACUGAUGCAGCAACGCCGCGUGCGGGAUGACGGCCUUCGGGUUGUAAACCGCUUUCGCCUGAGACGAAGCGUGAGUGACGGUAAUGGGUAAAGAAGCACCGGCUAACUACG
This 466-nucleotide ribosomal RNA is filed under the name uncultured bacterium. RNAcentral describes it as "partial 16S ribosomal RNA". It matches the Rfam family "Bacterial small subunit ribosomal RNA", at positions 28 to 505 of the family's 1533-position model. The record is from RNAcentral.